This is a non-coding RNA of Salvia hispanica, 3100 nucleotides long. The record is from RefSeq and is a predicted model, not a curated record. Lineage: Eukaryota; Viridiplantae; Streptophyta; Magnoliopsida; Lamiales; Lamiaceae.
CACUUCAUAAAAUUCAUUCUCAAUUUUUGGAUUAUCAACUCAAAGAUGGCAUAUGCAGCCGUUCAUUCUCUUGCCCAAACCCAAACCACUGCAGAAAUCAUCUUCCUUAAUCCCGUUUCUGAUAGCAAAAAACACCAAAUUAGAUCCAUCUAUGAACCAUUCAUUUCCUUGAAAGAGUUUCUGGAAGAAUUCCCCGAUGAGACGCCCAGCAAUUUGUAUGAUCGUAUCAAGCAAGCUGCGCGUGAAGCAGAACCCAUUAUUGUAUCUAUCAUAUCGGAGGAAAAUCAACCGCAGUGCUGUGCCGCUUUAGCAGGAAAAUCCAAAUUAAAACGCCAAGUGAAAAUGAUUACCAAUCAGUGUGGAGGUGAGGAACAUGAAGCAGAAUAAAGCUGCCACAAUCAAAGAUGCUGAGCAAAUUGGUGCUUCUUCUUCUGCAGCAGGUGGAUUGGUUGGGGAAAAAGUGUUCAAAAUCUUGAAAUGUAGACGGUAUCUCAUCAUAAUGGAUGAUAUUUGGAGUGUGGAGGCUUGGGAUGAGAUAAGAGCUAUACUUCCCGAUGAUGGUAAUGGAAGUCGAGUCAUGCUAACCACGAGACUAACCGAUGUUGCUGCUUAUCCCGACCCUUGUAGCCCUCUUCACGAGAUGCGUUUAAUGGAUGAAAAUCAAAGUUGUCAUCUGCUCCGGAAGAAGGUGUUUGGUCACCAAGAUUGUCCUCUGGAAUUGGAGAGAAUUGUGGAGGAGAUUGCAAGGAACUGUAGAGGACUUCCUCUUGCAGUUGUCGUUGUUGCGGGAAUGCUAUCUGCAGUCGGAGAGAAUCUAGCUUCGUGGAAGGCUAUUGCAGAAGAUGUAAGAUCAGCUGUUACUUCAAAGGGACAGUUUGAGAAUAUAUUGUCUCUGAGUUACACUAACUUGCCUCAUUAUCUGAGGCCAUGUUUCUUGUACAUGGGAAUGUUUCCCGAAGAUCAUGAGAUCCGUGUCUCAAAACUCAUACUAUUAUGGGUAGCUGAGAACUUUGUGAGAUGUCCCAAUGGAUCCAAAAGCUUAGAAGAAGAGGCAAAAGAGUGUUUGGAGGAUCUCAUCAGACGAAAUCUUGUUUUGGUUAACAAAAGGAAGUUUGAUGGCGAGAUCAAAAGUUGCAGCCUCCAUGAUCUAAUGCGAGAUUUGUGUGUAAGAAAAGCGCAUGAAGGGAAGUUCUUUUUGGAUUUUAGGGGUUGGCAUGAUAGGAGGUAUUUUCCUCUUGCAAUCAGAGAAAAUCAGCAUCGUGUAAGUGUUUCUCCUUCGGGUUUACCAUACCUUUCUAAAAUAGAUAGCUUAACCAUCCACACAAUUUUGUGCUUCCAUGGAAGAUCUAUAGCACAUAUGUUGGAAAGAUUUAGAUUGCUGAGGGUAUUGGAUCUAGGGGAUGUGUAUGUGAGAUCACUGCCAUAUGAACUAUUUGACCUAUUACAUCUAGUAUACCUUGCUAUGUACUAUCUUGGAAGGAUACCUGCAGCAAUUUCAAUGCUUCAUAAUCUCCAAACUUUAACCCUUCAUUCAAUGAAUGCAUGGAGACAUUUUAAAGCUCAUUGGGAUUGUUUGCCCCAGGAAAUCUGGACCUUGCCUCAAUUAAGACAUCUUGUCUUCUAUGGAAGGCUACCUGAUCCUGAAGAAAGAACAACUUCUAGUCUAGAAAACCUCCAAACACUUUUUCUAAGUUCACAUGCCAUAUGUAGUGAAAGGAUUUUGAGAAUGAUCCCAAACCUAAGGAAAUUAGAAAUUUAUUGUUCUGGGUGUCAUCCGGGCCAGAGUUUCUUGAACAAUCUGGUACUUCUGCAUCAACUCGUAGAUUUGAAACUUCAUUCAUCUUUGCGCAAUGAAAUUUUCCCAAAGGACAUGUUCACUUUUCCUAAGACGCUGAAAACGCUGACGUUAAGUCGCGUGCCUCUUCCUUGGGAGGAGCUGACUGUUGUUGGUUCAUUGCCAAAUCUUCGGAUGCUCAAACUAACUCACUGGGCUUGCAAAGGCGACACAUGGGAAACGACUGAAGGAGAGUUGACUCAGCUGGAAUUUCUGUUGAUAGAAAAGUCUGGUCUCAAGCUUUGGAUAACUGAAAGUAGCCAUUUCCCAAUGCUCAAGUGUCUAGUGCUCGAUGACUGUUGGGAGCUCUCUGAAGUGCCCGAAGGUAUUGGAGAAAUUCCAACACUUGAACUGAUUGAGGUGAAGGGAAUAGUGAGAAUGUCGCUCGUGGAGUCGGCCAAGAGGAUUCUGGAGGAGCAAAAAGAAUGGGGCAAUGAUAACUUGCUAGUUCGUUGCAUGAAUCGUCAAUGACAUGCUCUUCCCAGGUGUUAGAGAAAAUGGCAGAAAGAGAAGUCAAUGCUCCAAGUGCCCAGUGGUGUUCCAUGAAUUGCAACUAAGAACAGGGGAAUGAUAUGAGUUCGGUCCUAGCUAGGCCAGAUGCUUCUGUUCAUACAAAUGCUUCCUCCAUCUUCAGUUGGGACGAUCUUCACAUGAUAAGUAACGGAUUCAAUAACUCCUCCAAGAACAUCGCCCUCGAUUAUGCUGUAACUGUGGGUCAAGUUCUCCUUGUCGAUGGCAUCCACGCGGUGCUUCACGCUCUUUUAUUGACUCCCUUCGCCAAAAUGGAUAAGCUUGAUGGUCCCAACGCCACCAUCCCCUUCCAAGAUCUCGACAUUCUUGAUUGCCUGAGGCAUGAUCUUGGGGACGAGGGUGUCAACAUCGAGCACCACGGCCUUAAAAAUCUUAGCGGCCGGGAUGGAGGAAGGGAUCUCAAUAUCGUAAGUGAUGGCACCCAUGAUUAGUUGAAGUAAAAUGAGAAAAGGGAGUUAUAAGUAAGAAGAUUUGUGAAAUGUGGCUUAGUGAGAUGGGAAAAUGAGAGAAUAUGAGCUCCCUAUUUAUAGCAUAGAAUCGAAGGUACUCUUUCUUAAUUGCGUGGGCUUGAGUGUGUAACAACUAACAAGGAGUAGUAGAAUAAAAAUGUUUACGCUCUCUUUUGGUCGAUAGUGUUAAAUUAAUGCGCAUGGCGUGCCUAUAUUGACCAUUCUUCGCAUAGUUGCUGUAGAAUAUCUUAUUCAUUUCUUUAAUUUUAUAUUUUUGGAGCGACUA